UGGGGAAUAUUGCACAAUGGGCGCAAGCCUGAUGCAGCCAUGCCGCGUGUGUGAAGAAGGCCUUCGGGUUGUAAAGCACUUUCAGCGGGGAGGAAGGCGUUAAGGUUAAUAACCUUGGCGAUUGACGUUACCCGCAGAAGAAGCACCGGCUAACUCCGUGCCAGCAGCCGCGGUAAUACGGAGGGUGCAAGCGUUAAUCGGAAUUACUGGGCGUAAAGCGCACGCAGGCGGUCUGUCAAGUCGGAUGUGAAAUCCCCGGGCUCAACCUGGGAACUGCAUUCGAAAGUGGCAGGCUAGAGUCUUGUAGAGGGGGGUAGAAUUCCAGGUGUAGCGGUGAAAUGCGUAGAGAUCUGGGGGAAUACCGGUGGCGAAGGCGGCCCCCUGGACAAAGACUGACGCUCAGGUGCGAAAGCGUGGGGAGCAAACAGG
RNAcentral lists this ribosomal RNA (429 nucleotides) under Chloroflexota bacterium. Its description in RNAcentral is "Chloroflexi bacterium partial 16S ribosomal RNA". It matches the Rfam family "Bacterial small subunit ribosomal RNA", at positions 355 to 776 of the family's 1533-position model. The record is from RNAcentral. Lineage: Bacteria; Bacillati; Chloroflexota.